UACGGAGGGUGCGAGCGUUGUCCGGAAUCACUGGGCGUAAAGGGCGCGUAGGCGGCAUGCCAAGCGUGUGGUGAAAGCCCGGGGCUCAACCCCGGGUCGGCCGUGCGGACUGGCGUGCUCGAGCACUGUAGGGGCGGGUGGAAUUCCGAGUGUAGAGGUGAAAUUCGUAGAUAUUCGGAAGAACACCAGUGGCGAAGGCGGCUCACUGGACCGGUAUUGACGCUGAGGUGCGAAAGCGUGGGGAGCAAACAGG
RNAcentral lists this ribosomal RNA (253 nucleotides) under uncultured bacterium. Its description in RNAcentral is "partial 16S ribosomal RNA". It matches the Rfam family "Bacterial small subunit ribosomal RNA", at positions 524 to 776 of the family's 1533-position model. The record is from RNAcentral.